This 423-nucleotide ribosomal RNA is filed under the name uncultured bacterium. RNAcentral describes it as "partial 16S ribosomal RNA". It matches the Rfam family "Bacterial small subunit ribosomal RNA", at positions 359 to 774 of the family's 1533-position model. The record is from RNAcentral.
GAAUUUUGGACAAUGGGCGAAAGCCUGAUCCAGCAAUGCCGCGUGCAGGAUGAAGGCCUUCGGUUUGUAAACUCUUUUUGUCCGGAACGAAAACCUUUGGCUAAAUCCCCUGACGUCAUGCCGCUACCGUCGGCAUACGCACCGGCUAACUACCGUCACGAAGCCGCGGUCAUACGUAGGCUGCAAGCGUUACUCGGAAUUCCUGGGCGUAAAGCGUGCGCAGGCGUUUUUGGAAGACAGAGGUGAAAUCCCCGGGCUCAACCUGGGAACUGCCUUUGUGACUGCAAGGCUAGAGUACGGCAGAGGGGGGUGGAAUUCCGCGUGUAGCAGUGAAAUGCGUAGAUAUGCGGAGGAACACCGAUGGCGAAGGCAACCCCCUGGGCCUGUACUGACGCUCAUGCACGAAAGCGUGGGGAGCAAACA